AUUUUUAACAUAGUUAUCGAUGCAUAAUGUCUUUAUAGAUAGCAAUUAAGUAAAAAUAUUAAGUCUAAUUAAGCAAUUGUUUAAGUCACACAAGUCUCAUGAAGUGCAUUGGGAAACUUUCUGGUUUUUCUCUUCUUUGAAAGGGCUUGUACAGAUGAGAAUUACCUGUCCCUUGAUUGAUUUUUUUUUUUUUUUUUUUUUUGAGACAAAGUCUUGCUCCAUCACCCAGCCUGGAGUGCAGCAGUGCAAUCUUGGCUCCCUGCAGCCUCCAAUCCCCAGAUUUAAGCAAUGCUUGUGCCUCAGCCUCCCAAGUAGGUGGGACUACAGGCAUGUGUCACCACCCCCGGCCAAUUUUUGUAUUUUUAACAGAGAGUUUCACCAUGUUGGCCAGACUGGUCGUGAACUCCUAGCCUCAAGUGGUCUGCCCGCCUCAGCCUCCGAAAGUGCUGGGAUUAUAGGCAUGAGCCAUCACACCCAGCCCUACCUGUUCCUUGAAUGUUAAGUAAAAUUCACUUGUAAACUGGGCCUGGUAUUUUCCUUGUGGAAAGAUUUUAAACUACUGAUUUGGUCUCUCCAAAGUUUUAAAUUUAGAUUGUUUCUUAGUGGGUUUGGAUUUUUUUUUCCAUUUUUAUAUUGGCUAUGAAAAAUGUAGGGGAGCUCCUGUCAUUCAGUUUCGCUUCCUCUAAACUAGAACCUACCAUCAAAAUUGCUAUUUCAAUAUGAUGUGUGAUUCAUAUUUGGAACACAGUUUUAGAAAUGCUUUUUGAAAGUAACUUUAAAUAAAAUAUUGUGAUACAGUUAAUGAAGAUCAUUUCAUUUUGUCAUAGGAGGAACCAAAUCAGAUGAAAAAGUGGACUUGAGCAAGGACAAAAAAUUAGCCCAGUUUAACAACUGGUUUACAUGGUGUCAUAAUUGCAGGCACGGUGGACAUGCUGGACAUAUGCUUAGUUGGUUCAGGGACCAUGCAGAGUGCCCUGUGUCUGCAUGCACGUGUAAAUGUAUGCAAUUGGAUACAACAGGGAAUCUGGUACCUGCAGAGACUGUCCAGCCAUAAAAUGUUAUCACUGUAAGAGAACCCUUCAAGUGUGGAGCUUUCUAGUAGGUGUCCUUCAUAGCUCAGAAACAUACCUCAGAACAAGCCAUUCAUGACUUACCUGUAGUGGGAAAACAAAUCAUUCUAUCAGAUCAGCAGUUUUGAUGUUUGAGUGAUUUUGAUAUGCUUCACAGAGACAAAUGCUGCCGAAAUAAACAUCGAAGUAUAGACAUGAGUUCUGUUCAGCAGGUUGAAAAGUCUGAUUUAGAAAAACUUUCUAAGUUUUGGUUGAAAUUAUGAACACUCUAGAAGCAGAAUUUCUGGAAGAGCCAAGAACAGACUUUGAGCCUAUAUCUUCAAAGCUGAAACUGGAUAUCUUUCAAUAAAAUAUGUGCACUUUUAAAAUAAAAUGACUAAUUCUGUGAUUCAGACAAUAGUUUUAAGUUCAGCUGUGCUUAGAUUUCUUUCAGAUUAAUUUAAAAUUAUAGAUUUUUACUUUUAGAAUUGCAGAGCCCCUAUCCCACACUGGAGAAUAUUUUUUAUUACUGUCUGUUAUAUAUGUGUGUCUAUGUGUGUGUGUAUAUUUAUGUGUGUAUGUAUAAAUAUGUAUUUUUUAAAGGAGCCUUUUCCCUCCUUUGAUUUUAAGAUAAGCAAUCUUUUGGCAUAGACAUUAUCGUCUUCCUAGAAAAGCCAAGAUGAAGAAUCUAUCUUACAACUUUUUCUCUUCAGAAGAGAAAAACAUGUACCAUUUCAGGUGAACAUACAAAAUUUUCACUUUCUACCUUUUGCCUUCCAAUGUCCUGAUUUGUCUUCAAAGGUUUUUCUCCAUAUUAAUUUGUCAUCUUAUCCUCAUCACCUGAGAACAUUUUACUGCAUACAAAGUCUAUGCAAGAUUAUAUGUAACUAGCCAUUUAGUAUAAUCUAUGUCAGUGUUUCUGUGCUGUCAAAUUCCGUCCUGAUUUGGAAUACCAUACCUUGUUCUUUCCAAGGUAGACUAGGAAGUGUUGGGGAAAUAGGGCCACUUCAGAGACCAUUUUAGAUGUAAGUUUUUAAAUGUAAGUGUUACUGGGGCUAAGUCUGGGACUUUAUUUAAAACAUUUUUUUUUCUCAUUUCAUAGCUAGAUAGUUGUAAGAGAAAUACAAAGAAUUUACAAGAUGCUUCCCUGUCAUCUGCCAUAUGCAGAGGGACUGAACUAGGAAUUUUGUAGUUGAAGCUGUGUUCAUAAAGAGUAAAUCUUAUUUUAUAGAUUUUGGAGAAAUAAAACAAGAAUUUUAAGAGCUUUCGUAUUAGCAGUUUUGCCUUAUAAAAACUAAGAUUUGUCAGAUUAGUUUGAGGUGUAACCUAAAUAUUAAAAGUAGAUUAAAUUUAUUUUUUACCUUGAGUGUCUGAUACAUAAAACCCUUUUCUAGGAAAACAUUGGAAGUAGUACAUAUUUACUCUAAAUGUCUCACCUACAUGACAGUCUUUUCAAAUGAAAGACAUGGGAAUUGCAAUUUUUUUUUAAAGAUUGCUAUUAAGGGUACUUUUUCCAGCCUUCAUUUGAGUAAAUCUUAAUUGAUUUCAUUUUAUUAACAUAUACCUUUUACCUUUAAUAUUUCAUUUGAAGUGUUCCUUUCAAACUUACUGUCUUAAAUAUGAAAGUCAGCUUUAAGUAAUGUCAGACUCAUAUGCAUUUUCAUUCUCAUUAGCUAAAGUAAAAUGUAAAAUUAUCUCAAAUAGUUACAAGUUUUGCAAAUACAGUAUAAAACAUGAAUGUAAAGUCUAUUAUGUAAUAUGCUUAUUUGUAAUCCUAAUAUAUGAGGGUGACAUUUUUAAGAUUGUAUGUAUGUGUCAACCUCUUAAAUGUUUUCUGUGAAGCCC
This 2894-nucleotide small RNA is filed under the name Pan troglodytes (chimpanzee). Its description in RNAcentral is "retained intron". The record is from RNAcentral. Lineage: Eukaryota; Metazoa; Chordata; Mammalia; Primates; Hominidae.